UGAGGGAGUACGAGCAGGAGUUCCAUCGUUUGAGAAAGUUUGUAAGCAGGUACGUUGAUGAGAGGGAACACAUAGAAAAGUUCCUGAGGGGCUUGCGGGUUGACAUUAAGAAUAGAUGCCAAAUGCGGAGGUAUGUGACCAUGGUCGACCUGGUGGAGACGGCAGUCUUGAUGGAGAGAAACAUUGGCGUGGAGGUUAAGCAAGCUAGAGCAUCCCAAGCACCAAAGGGAACUCUGAAACGGACAUGGGACGACCAGGCGGCAGACUCAGGAACGGAGCAGACAUCCAUGUCCGGACAGCGUGGGCGGAAACACGUUCGACCAUGCAAAACUAAGGGAUGUUAUGGAUGUGGUCGUAUGGGGCAUAUUAAGCGGAAUUGCCCGGAGUUACUUGGAGACUCAGCUCACGUAGAGAGCAAAAGACGUUGAUGAUUACUUAACUCGAGAGAGCGUAGCUUUCUGUGAGUUAAAUAGUAAUGAACUGAAAACUUUUUGUUGAUAGACUAGCAAAGCUUUUCUUUUGUUGAUAAUCUUGCGAAGAUUUUGGCAUUGAGACGGUGAGAAUUCAAAUUACUUUGAACGCCGUCAGCCUUGGCAGUCACAUCCAUACAAAACUCUUGAUCUUUCGGGUAUAUUGGUGGUUACAGCAACUUUUGUUGGAAGAAAAGAUAGUACAUUCACCAUUCUUAUUAAUAAUGCUACUAGCAAGUAAACUAAGGCUGCUGCAUCGAAAUGAAACAGGAGACAUGACCAUAUGACAAAGGUGUUGAGAAUAUUAUUAAGCCAUCCCUUUAUACACAGGUUCAUUGAUGUUGGUUGUAGUGCUUUGGUAGCAACUGCUUCAAACUCUCCGUCUCUCUUCUCUGUUUGCGAGAAAGAAGUUUAGAUGAUCCCUUGGAUGUGAUGCGUCUCUUGUUUCCCAUAUUUGCCUCUCCGAUGAUCCGAUACAUCAUUGUCACUAUAUACACCGCAAAUUUCUCUCGUAGUUUAGCUGCGUUCUUUAAUUUCAACCGAUGUCAAGUUUGUGCAUCCGCUGCAGAUUUUAUACACUAAAAAGUGAAAUUAUUCAGUUCAGAAUUAACCCCCACCCAGAGAGACAAACUUCAAAAUCAAGCAGAGAAGAACACACAAGGAAGGUACCAUAUCAGCAGCAGACAAGGUUUCUUAUUUUUUUCCAAAUUUCUUUUCUAUACGGAAAGAUCAAGUUGCGAUCAGAAUCCAAUUCGAAUUGAUUCUAUCUAGGUCUUAGGUUUAGGUUGAUUUUACCGAUUUUGAUGUUAAAUUUUCUUCUUAGUUGAGAGAGUAAACGCAUGUUUUUAUAAAAAACGCAGCUUUGUUCGUUGGUUUCCAAUUCGAAACUGCCGAUCUUCGAAAUCAAUUCGAUUUUGAUGUUAUAAAACCUUAAUUCCGAUCAUAACACAUGAUUCUGGAGAAACGCAGUUUUGCUCGUUGGUUUACAAACUCUUUCACAUUGAUGUAGUAAUGGCUCUUGACAUGCUUAGCUUCUUAUACUAGUUUUUUUUUUUUUCUCAGAAUGUCAGGAAGUUAUCAUGAUCCACGCGUUUUCUCUCCGGAGAGACUGUUGGAAGAUCUUCAUGUACAGACCGUUGAAAUCCAAAGGCUUUUUAAUGAUAAUCACAGACUAGCUGAGCACCGAGUGCUUCUGGAGCGAGAACUCGGCUCUGCCAAGGAAGAGCUUCACCGAAUGAAUCUCGCUGUUUCUGAACUUCGUGCUGAAUAUGAUCUGCAGUCGAGGGACUUCAGUGAGAGAAUGCAGGACGAUGCUCGUGCUAUGGAGUCUUACAAGGAAGAGCUUCACCGGAUGAACCUGGUCAUUUCUGAUCUCCGUGCUGACAAAGAAGAGGCUGCACAGUUGCGCGGUGAAGUUCAGAAGCUAAAUGACAUUAAACGUGAACUUAGUGGAGAUGUUGAGAUACUUAGGAAAGAUUUGGUCAAAUUGCAAUCAGAUAACAUGCAGAUUCCGGGUUUGAGAGCUGAGGUUCAGGACCUGAAGAAGGAGCUUAUGCACGCUAGGUAUAAUCUUGAAUCCUUUAUUUUCACAAUUCUGUUUCUAGUUGAAUCCCUGAGCAUCUGGGUUUCGGUUGUAAAUGGAGGCUUUUUCGUUUGGAACAGAGGUGCUAUUGAGUAUGAGAAGAAGGAAAAGUUUGAGCUUAUGGAGCACCGGCAAGCUAUGGAAAAUAACAUGGUUUCAAUGGCACGUGAUGUUGAAAAGCUACGAGCAGAGCUUGCUGCUGUUGAUAGUAGGCCUUGGGGCUAUGGUAUGACCCUCCUACAUCUUUCCUGGAACCAUUUGGUAUUUUCUUUUCAUACGUUAUGUGUCCAGGUGGAUCAUAUGGGAUGAAUUUCAACCAUAUGAAUGGUAGCUUCCGUGGUUCUUAUGGAGAACAUGAUGGUUUUCUGGUACUCACUCAUCUUUGUGGACUUGUACUAUUAUUACAUGCCUCUAUUUAUCUUUCUUAUCUCUCAUGGAUCUUCGGAACAGAUGCCGACCGAGAGAAGAGUGGACCUUCAGACCCAACCAAGAAACACUGGAAACCAAACCGCAUCCAACCGAGCUGAGGCAGCAGAGAUACUCGAGUGCACACGCAGCGUGGGGCAGUCGCAGAAUGGUGCGAAUGGUCAAACAAAGGUUCCCGUGGGAGACACUGCGGCAGUAAGUGCAGCCGUCUUGCAUGGACUCAAGGAGCUGUUUGGGCCGUUGCUGCAACAGAACUCCGCAGGGGGACUGGCCUCUCGAGCCACAGCGGUUCUGCAAGUACAAGGAGGUGCCGGUCAGGAAGGGCCUUCUCCGCUUGUACCAGCAACCGCGCCAAUACCCUCGUACUGGGACGCAUUAAGACGGAUGAGGGACUUGGGUACUGAGACCUUCGGUGGGGGUGGUGACCGGGUCGCCGCAGACAACUGGUGGCAAAUGCUGGAAAGGAACUUCGAGUUCAGCAUGUGCCCAGUGGAGUACCGAAAGGAAUUAGCAGCCCAUUACUUGAGGGAAGAAGCUCAUAUCUGGUGGGAAAAUGUGGUUCAAGGAACCCCCGAAGGGUAUGUGCUCAACUGGUACGACUUCAAGGAUGAAUUCGCCAGGAGAUACUUUCUGGAGGAAGCCAUCGAUCAGAUGGAUAAAGACUUCGCAGAGCUGCGUCAGGGAACUAGAACUGUGAGGGAGUACGAGCAGGAGUUCCAUCGUUUGAGAAAGUUUGUAAGCAGGUACGUUGAUGAGAGGGAACACAUAGAAAAGUUCCUGAGGGGCUUGCGGGUUGACAUUAAGAAUAGAUGCCAAAUGCGGAGGUAUGUGACCAUGGUCGACCUGGUGGAGACGGCAGUCUUGAUGGAGAGAAACAUUGGCGUGGAGGUUAAGCAAGCUAGAGCAUCCCAAGCACCAAAGGGAACUCUGAAACGGACAUGGGACGACCAGGCGGCAGACUCAGGAACGGAGCAGACAUCCAUGUCCGGAC
This 3469-nucleotide long non-coding RNA is filed under the name Brassica napus (rape). Its description in RNAcentral is "long non-coding RNA (BNAP_LNC018492)". The record is from RNAcentral. Lineage: Eukaryota; Viridiplantae; Streptophyta; Magnoliopsida; Brassicales; Brassicaceae.